UUAAGCGACUAAGCGUACACGGUGGAUGCCCUGGCAGUCAGAGGCGAUGAAGGACGUGCUAAUCUGCGAUAAGCGUCGGUAAGGUGAUAUGAACCGUUAUAACCGGCGAUUUCCGAAUGGGGAAACCCAGUGUGUUUCGACACACUAUCAUUAACUGAAUCCAUAGGUUAAUGAGGCGAACCGGGGGAACUGAAACAUCUAAGUACCCCGAGGAAAAGAAAUCAACCGAGAUUCCCCCAGUAGCGGCGAGCGAACGGGGAGCAGCCCAGAGCCUGAAUCAGUGUGUGUGUUAGUGGAAGCGUCUGGAAAGGCGCGCGAUACAGGGUGACAGCCCCGUACACAAAAAUGCACAUGCUGUGAGCUCGAUGAGUAGGGCGGGACACGUGGUAUCCUGUCUGAAUAUGGGGGGACCAUCCUCCAAGGCUAAAUACUCCUGACUGACCGAUAGUGAACCAGUACCGUGAGGGAAAGGCGAAAAGAACCCCGGCGAGGGGAGUGAAAAAGAACCUGAAACCGUGUACGUACAAGCAGUGGGAGCACGCUUAGGCGUGUGACUGCGUACCUUUUGUAUAAUGGGUCAGCGACUUAUAUUCUGUAGCAAGGUUAACCGAAUAGGGGAGCCGAAGGGAAACCGAGUCUUAACUGGGCGUUAAGUUGCAGGGUAUAGACCCGAAACCCGGUGAUCUAGCCAUGGGCAGGUUGAAGGUUGGGUAACACUAACUGGAGGACCGAACCGACUAAUGUUGAAAAAUUAGCGGAUGACUUGUGGCUGGGGGUGAAAGGCCAAUCAAACCGGGAGAUAGCUGGUUCUCCCCGAAAGCUAUUUAGGUAGCGCCUCGUGAAUUCAUCUCCGGGGGUAGAGCACUGUUUCGGCAAGGGGGUCAUCCCGACUUACCAACCCGAUGCAAACUGCGAAUACCGGAGAAUGUUAUCACGGGAGACACACGGCGGGUGCUAACGUCCGUCGUGAAGAGGGAAACAACCCAGACCGCCAGCUAAGGUCCCAAAGUCAUGGUUAAGUGGGAAACGAUGUGGGAAGGCCCAGACAGCCAGGAUGUUGGCUUAGAAGCAGCCAUCAUUUAAAGAAAGCGUAAUAGCUCACUGGUCGAGUCGGCCUGCGCGGAAGAUGUAACGGGGCUAAACCAUGCACCGAAGCUGCGGCAGCGACACUAUGUGUUGUUGGGUAGGGGAGCGUUCUGUAAGCCUGUGAAGGUGUACUGUGAGGUAUGCUGGAGGUAUCAGAAGUGCGAAUGCUGACAUAAGUAACGAUAAAGCGGGUGAAAAGCCCGCUCGCCGGAAGACCAAGGGUUCCUGUCCAACGUUAAUCGGGGCAGGGUGAGUCGACCCCUAAGGCGAGGCCGAAAGGCGUAGUCGAUGGGAAACAGGUUAAUAUUCCUGUACUUGGUGUUACUGCGAAGGGGGGACGGAGAAGGCUAUGUUGGCCGGGCGACGGUUGUCCCGGUUUAAGCGUGUAGGCUGGUUUUCCAGGCAAAUCCGGAAAAUCAAGGCUGAGGCGUGAUGACGAGGCACUACGGUGCUGAAGCAACAAAUGCCCUGCUUCCAGGAAAAGCCUCUAAGCAUCAGGUAACAUCAAAUCGUACCCCAAACCGACACAGGUGGUCAGGUAGAGAAUACCAAGGCGCUUGAGAGAACUCGGGUGAAGGAACUAGGCAAAAUGGUGCCGUAACUUCGGGAGAAGGCACGCUGAUAUGUAGGUGAAGUCCCUCGCGGAUGGAGCUGAAAUCAGUCGAAGAUACCAGCUGGCUGCAACUGUUUAUUAAAAACACAGCACUGUGCAAACACGAAAGUGGACGUAUACGGUGUGACGCCUGCCCGGUGCCGGAAGGUUAAUUGAUGGGGUUAGCCGCAAGGCGAAGCUCUUGAUCGAAGCCCCGGUAAACGGCGGCCGUAACUAUAACGGUCCUAAGGUAGCGAAAUUCCUUGUCGGGUAAGUUCCGACCUGCACGAAUGGCGUAAUGAUGGCCAGGCUGUCUCCACCCGAGACUCAGUGAAAUUGAACUCGCUGUGAAGAUGCAGUGUACCCGCGGCAAGACGGAAAGACCCCGUGAACCUUUACUAUAGCUUGACACUGAACAUUGAGCCUUGAUGUGUAGGAUAGGUGGGAGGCUUUGAAGUGUGGACGCCAGUCU
RNAcentral lists this ribosomal RNA (2150 nucleotides) under human gut metagenome. Its description in RNAcentral is "bacterial LSU rRNA". It matches the Rfam family "Bacterial large subunit ribosomal RNA", at positions 1 to 2177 of the family's 2925-position model. The record is from RNAcentral.